RNAcentral lists this ribosomal RNA (254 nucleotides) under uncultured bacterium. RNAcentral's name for it is "partial 16S ribosomal RNA". It matches the Rfam family "Bacterial small subunit ribosomal RNA", at positions 524 to 776 of the family's 1533-position model. The record is from RNAcentral.
UACGUAGGGGGGCGAGCGUUGUCCGGAGUUACUGGGCGUAAAGCGCACGCAGGCGGUCUGGUAAGUUUGGAGUGACAGUGCCCGGCUCAACUGGGCAAGGCCUCUGAAGACUGCUGGACUUGAGGACCAGAGAGGGACAUAGAAUUCCGGGUGGAGUGGUGAAUGCGUAGAUAGUCCGGAGGAAUACCAAAGGCGAAGGCAGUGUCCUGGCUGGUAACUGACGCUCAGGUGCGAAAGCUAGGGGAGCGAACAGG